GACGAACGCUGGCGGCGUGCUUAACACAUGCAAGUCGAGCGAGGGGCUUCGGUUCCUAGCGGCGAACGGGUGAGUAACACGUGGGCAACCUGCCCCGAGCUCUGGAAUAACCUCGGGAAACCGGGGCUAAUGCCGGAUAUGACACUGCCGGGCAUCUGGUGGUGUGGAAAGAUUUAUCGGCUCGGGAUGGGCCCGCGGCCUAUCAGCUUGUUGGUGGGGUGAUGGCCUACCAAGGCGACGACGGGUAGCCGGCCUGAGAGGGCGACCGGCCACACUGGGACUGAGACACGGCCCAGACUCCUACGGGAGGCAGCAGUGGGGAAUAUUGCGCAAUGGGCGAAAGCCUGACGCAGCGACGCCGCGUGGGGGAUGAAGGCC
RNAcentral lists this ribosomal RNA (378 nucleotides) under Frankia sp. RNAcentral's name for it is "bacterial SSU rRNA". It matches the Rfam family "Bacterial small subunit ribosomal RNA", at positions 28 to 416 of the family's 1533-position model. Lineage: Bacteria; Bacillati; Actinomycetota; Actinomycetes; Frankiales; Frankiaceae. The record is from RNAcentral.